This 465-nucleotide ribosomal RNA is filed under the name uncultured bacterium. RNAcentral's name for it is "partial 16S ribosomal RNA". It matches the Rfam family "Bacterial small subunit ribosomal RNA", at positions 28 to 507 of the family's 1533-position model. The record is from RNAcentral.
GACGAACGCUGGCGGCGUGCUUAACACAUGCAAGUCGAACGGAAAGGCCCUGCUUGCCGGGUACUCGAGUGGCGAACGGGUGAGUAACACGUGGGUGAUCUGCCCUGCACUUCGGGAUAAGCUUGGGAAACUGGGUCUAAUACCGGAUAGGAGCCAUCUUUAGUGUGGUGGUUGGAAAGUUUUUUCGGUGUAGGAUGAGCUCGCGGCCUAUCAGCUUGUUGGUGGGGUAAUGGCCUACCAAGGCGGCGACGGGUAGCCGGCCUGAGAGGGUGUACGGCCACAUUGGGACUGAGAUACGGCCCAGACUCCGACGGGAGGCAGCAGUGGGGAAUAUUGCACAAUGGGCGCAAGCCUGAUGCAGCGACGCCGCGUGGGGGAUGAAGGCCUUCGGGUUGGAAACUCCAUUCGCUAGGGACGAAGCUUUUUGUGACGGUACCUAGAUAAGAAGCACCGGCUAACUACGUG